GGGUUGUGAGGUUAAGCGACUAAGCGUACACGGUGGAUGCCCUGGCAGUCAGAGGCGAUGAAGGACGUGCUAAUCUGCGAUAAGCGUCGGUAAGGUGAUAUGAACCGUUAUAACCGGCGAUUUCCGAAUGGGGAAACCCAGUGUGUUUCGACACACUAUCAUUAACUGAAUCCAUAGGUUAAUGAGGCGAACCGGGGGAACUGAAACAUCUAAGUACCCCGAGGAAAAGAAAUCAACCGAGAUUCCCCCAGUAGCGGCGAGCGAACGGGGAGCAGCCCAGAGCCUGAAUCAGUGUGUGUGUUAGUGGAAGCGUCUGGAAAGGCGCGCGAUACAGGGUGACAGCCCCGUACACAAAAAUGCACAUGCUGUGAGCUCGAUGAGUAGGGCGGGACACGUGGUAUCCUGUCUGAAUAUGGGGGGACCAUCCUCCAAGGCUAAAUACUCCUGACUGACCGAUAGUGAACCAGUACCGUGAGGGAAAGGCGAAAAGAACCCCGGCGAGGGGAGUGAAAAAGAACCUGAAACCGUGUACGUACAAGCAGUGGGAGCACGCUUAGGCGUGUGACUGCGUACCUUUUGUAUAAUGGGUCAGCGACUUAUAUUCUGUAGCAAGGUUAACCGAAUAGGGGAGCCGAAGGGAAACCGAGUCUUAACUGGGCGUUAAGUUGCAGGGUAUAGACCCGAAACCCGGUGAUCUAGCCAUGGGCAGGUUGAAGGUUGGGUAACACUAACUGGAGGACCGAACCGACUAAUGUUGAAAAAUUAGCGGAUGACUUGUGGCUGGGGGUGAAAGGCCAAUCAAACCGGGAGAUAGCUGGUUCUCCCCGAAAGCUAUUUAGGUAGCGCCUCGUGAAUUCAUCUCCGGGGGUAGAGCACUGUUUCGGCAAGGGGGUCAUCCCGACUUACCAACCCGAUGCAAACUGCGAAUACCGGAGAAUGUUAUCACGGGAGACACACGGCGGGUGCUAACGUCCGUCGUGAAGAGGGAAACAACCCAGACCGCCAGCUAAGGUCCCAAAGUCAUGGUUAAGUGGGAAACGAUGUGGGAAGGCCCAGACAGCCAGGAUGUUGGCUUAGAAGCAGCCAUCAUUUAAAGAAAGCGUAAUAGCUCACUGGUCGAGUCGGCCUGCGCGGAAGAUGUAACGGGGCUAAACCAUGCACCGAAGCUGCGGCAGCGACGCUUAUGCGUUGUUGGGUAGGGGAGCGUUCUGUAAGCCUGUGAAGGUGUGCUGUGAGGCAUGCUGGAGGUAUCAGAAGUGCGAAUGCUGACAUAAGUAACGAUAAAGCGGGUGAAAAGCCCGCUCGCCGGAAGACCAAGGGUUCCUGUCCAACGUUAAUCGGGGCAGGGUGAGUCGACCCCUAAGGCGAGGCCGAAAGGCGUAGUCGAUGGGAAACAGGUUAAUAUUCCUGUACUUGGUGUUACUGCGAAGGGGGGACGGAGAAGGCUAUGUUGGCCGGGCGACGGUUGUCCCGGUUUAAGCGUGUAGGCUGGUUUUCCAGGCAAAUCCGGAAAAUCAAGGCUGAGGCGUGAUGACGAGGCACUACGGUGCUGAAGCAACAAAUGCCCUGCUUCCAGGAAAAGCCUCUAAGCAUCAGGUAACAUCAAAUCGUACCCCAAACCGACACAGGUGGUCAGGUAGAGAAUACCAAGGCGCUUGAGAGAACUCGGGUGAAGGAACUAGGCAAAAUGGUGCCGUAACUUCGGGAGAAGGCACGCUGAUAUGUAGGUGAAGUCCCUUGCGGAUGGAGCUGAAAUCAGUCGAAGAUACCAGCUGGCUGCAACUGUUUAUUAAAAACACAGCACUGUGCAAACACGAAAGUGGACGUAUACGGUGUGACGCCUGCCCGGUGCCGGAAGGUUAAUUGAUGGGGUCAGCGCAAGCGAAGCUCUUGAUCGAAGCCCCGGUAAACGGCGGCCGUAACUAUAACGGUCCUAAGGUAGCGAAAUUCCUUGUCGGGUAAGUUCCGACCUGCACGAAUGGCGUAAUGAUGGCCAGGCUGUCUCCACCCGAGACUCAGUGAAAUUGAACUCGCUGUGAAGAUGCAGUGUACCCGCGGCAAGACGGAAAGACCCCGUGAACCUUUACUAUAGCUUGACACUGAACAUUGAGCCUUGAUGUGUAGGAUAGGUGGGAGGCUUUGAAGUGUGGACGCCAGUCUGCAUGGAGCCGACCUUGAAAUACCACCCUUUAAUGUUUGAUGUUCUAACGUUGACCCGUAAUCCGGGUUGCGGACAGUGUCUGGUGGGUAGUUUGACUGGGGCGGUCUCCUCCUAAAGAGUAACGGAGGAGCACGAAGGUUGGCUAAUCCUGGUCGGACAUCAGGAGGUUAGUGCAAUGGCAUAAGCCAGCUUGACUGCGAGCGUGACGGCGCGAGCAGGUGCGAAAGCAGGUCAUAGUGAUCCGGUGGUUCUGAAUGGAAGGGCCAUCGCUCAACGGAUAAAAGGUACUCCGGGGAUAACAGGCUGAUACCGCCCAAGAGUUCAUAUCGACGGCGGUGUUUGGCACCUCGAUGUCGGCUCAUCACAUCCUGGGGCUGAAGUAGGUCCCAAGGGUAUGGCUGUUCGCCAUUUAAAGUGGUACGCGAGCUGGGUUUAGAACGUCGUGAGACAGUUCGGUCCCUAUCUGCCGUGGGCGCUGGAGAACUGAGGGGGGCUGCUCCUAGUACGAGAGGACCGGAGUGGACGCAUCACUGGUGUUCGGGUUGUCAUGCCAAUGGCACUGCCCGGUAGCUAAAUGCGGAAGAGAUAAGUGCUGAAAGCAUCUAAGCACGAAACUUGCCCCGAGAUGAGUUCUCCCUGACCCUUUAAGGGUCCUGAAGGAACGUUGAAGACGACGACGUUGAUAGGCCGGGUGUGUAAGCGCAGCGAUGCGUUGAGCUAACCGGUACUAAUGAACCGUGAGGCUUAACCUUACAACGCCGAAGGUGUUU
This 2931-nucleotide ribosomal RNA is filed under the name Escherichia coli. Its description in RNAcentral is "23S ribosomal RNA". It matches the Rfam family "Bacterial large subunit ribosomal RNA". The record is from RNAcentral. Lineage: Bacteria; Pseudomonadati; Pseudomonadota; Gammaproteobacteria; Enterobacterales; Enterobacteriaceae. RNAcentral also lists the same sequence under 1 other name.